Molecule: non-coding RNA, 72 nt
Organism: Danionella cerebrum
Lineage: Eukaryota; Metazoa; Chordata; Actinopteri; Cypriniformes; Danionidae
Source: the annotation of a GenBank genome assembly
UUUGCUGUGGCUCAGUUUGUAAAGCAUUGCGCUAACAAGCAAAGGUCAAAGGGGUUCAAAUCCCAGGGAAAG